AACCUUCUGUGGUAAGGGGUGAACAUCCUUGGGAAGCCACAGAGAGCAAGGCGCAGUUUUUCAUUGAUCACCACUUUCAAGAUGCUCCCAGAAUCGUGCUGUCUAGGAAGCCAUUUAAACUGGUGAGAAGCCAUCCUCUCUUGAAUGGGGGCUCCCACUGUACAUCUGGCACCCACUUCACAGAUUCUGGGGGAUGUCAACACCAGCACUGCUGAGCUGUGUGACCUUGAGCAAGACAGUUAGCCUCUCUGAACCUCAGUGUCCUUCUCUGUAGGCUGGAGAUUGAUAUACCUUCAUUAUCGGGGUAUGAGAGUGUUAUAAGGUGGGAUGGUGGAACACGCUGACUGGUCUGGGCUAUUCAAGAUCCAUGAACUGGAAGAUGCUUUCUUAUAACUCAGAGAAAAGAGAUGAAAAUGAAUCAAAGAACAGGAAGGAGACAAGCUCAGGAGAGUCACCCUAAGAAGGAUGUGUGGAAGACUUGACUGGAGGAUCAAAAUGUGUCGGGGGAAGGUGUACAAGGAGGAGUAAGGACACAGAUGUCCUGACUUCACACAGUGGGGGAUUAGAAGCCACCAUCAAACACAGAUGAAACAGGAAUAAAAGUAGUAGUACAUUACUUAAGCUUUAAAAGGGUAAGACUCCUGGGAAUUUGGAAGCUGAGACUUGAGGAGCAGAGGCAUUUAGCUGUGUAAACACAGAGCUUCAGUGGCAGCACCCUAAAUGCUUAGCUGAUAGAUCCGGAAUUAAAUACAGACCUAGAAACUGGAGUUGGAAAACUUCCUGGCAGCACUCCUUCCCUGCCAUCCCGGUGAUCCCCUUCUGGAUGGAGGGUGUGGAGCUCAGCACAUUCACGUCUGCAGUUCUCAGAGAACCAAGUGUUAAGGAAUGUCAGGGAAGGAAGAAGGCAGCCAGCCAGGAAGGGGAGGUCCUGGCCUGAGCACGCCAGGCACAGAGGGAUAGAGGGUAGGGAGGAAACUGCACCUGUCUCCAACCCUCGACCCCAGCCCCGAAACACGACAUUGGCUGAAACAGAUUAAAAGCAUAAAAUGGCCCAAAGAAAUGGGAGAAGGUUGGCCUCUGGUCGGGCAAACAUGAGGGCAUGAAGAUAUAUAAUGUCCCACACGGGAGGAAACCCUUGCCGGGCCCCUCAGGAUUUAUAACAAGCUCACCUGAAGGAGAAACUUCAGGGGCACUUACACCAUCAGAUACCUAGAAAGGAGCUGUCAUUUCCUCACUGAAGAGUUUGCAAGCAGAUGGUAAAAGGGGUUUAAUUUGAAAACACUGAAACAUCGUGUUCGCUCAAAACCAUGACAAUUGCAGUUUUAUUGUCUCCACUCAGGAAAAUGUGUGUCUGGAUCAUCUUGUGGCCCGAAUGGGGAGAAAAGAUGCAGUAUUCCAAAGCAGGAGAUUCACUGAAAAAGAUGUUUAAGAAGUUGCUGAUGAAGAAAAGUUCAGGAUUCACAGCUCCAUACAAAGGGAAUAGCCACUUUUCUCAUUUUGAGAUAUGACUACUAACAAGUAUUAUUCUGCAUCUUCAGCCAGGCUGUGGAAGGCCCCAUUCUUUCUGUAACACAGAUGUUCAAUUGGAAUUUUCCAUCUGGUCACAUAAUUCUGCUUUGGGAUUUAACAGGUUAACUUGGCACUGGUCACUGGCCUUGGAGGGCAAAAUAUGAUAGUUCAGCAUAGAUUCUAUUUGUUGAUAACUCAUCAUAGCCACAUUGGCAUCAAUAAGUUUUCUGUAGGGCACACUUUUCCUUUAAUGUGGACACAGUCACAUAAUAAUAUGCUUAUGGUGCAGACGUUGGUUCUAAACUCACUUUGCAUUAUCUGUAUCUGUAUCUGCAUCUAUAUCUGUAUCUGUAUCUAUCUGUAUCUACAUCUGUAUCUGUAUCUGUACUUAUAUCUGUAUCUGUAUCUAUCUGUAUCUGUAUCUAUAUCUGUAUCUGUAUAUAUAUCUGUAUCUAUUUGUAUCAUCUAUCAGUAUCUGUAUCUAUAUUUGUAUCUAUCUAUAUCUGUAUCUGUAUCUGUCUGUAUUUGUAUCUGUAUCUGUAUCAUCAAUCUGUACCUGUAGCUGUCUGUAUCUGUAUCAUCUAUCUGUAUCUGUAUCUAUACUUGUAUCUGGAUCUAUAUCUGUAUCUAUACUUGUAUCUGUAUCUAUAUCUGUAUCUAUCUGUAUCUGUAUCUGUAUCAUCUAUCUGUAUCUGUAUUUUUAUCUGUAUCUUUAUCUAUACCAGUAUCUGUAUCUAUCUGUACUUGUAUCUAUCUGUGUCUGUAACUGUCUGUAAUUAUUUAUCUACAUCUAUUUCUAUCUAAUCUCAUUUUAUUUUUAUUUAUUUUUGGAGCAGUUUCAGGUUCACAGCAAAAUGGAGCAGCAAACACAGAGAUUUCCCAUACAACCCGGUCCCCACAUGUGCACAGCCUCCCCCAUUGUUAACAACCCCUGCCAAGGUGGCAUUUUUGUUAUAACUGAUGAACCUACAUUUACACAUACUUAUCACCCAAAGUUCAUAGUUUACAUUAGGGCUCACUCUUGUUGUACAUUAUACAGAUUCAGACCGGUUAUGAUGAUACGUCUUUAUCAUCAUGGUAUUGUACAGAGCAGCUUCAUAUCCUAAAAAUCUUCUGCACUCAGUCUGUUCAUGCCUUCCCACUAACCCUUGGCAGCCACUAAUCUUUUUACUGUCUACCUUCUUUUGCCUUUUCCAAAAUGUCAUAUAGUUGGAAUCAUACAGUAUGAGGCCUUUUCACAUUGGCUUUUCUCAUUUAGUAAUAUGCAUUUAAGACUCCUCUCUGUCUUUUUACGGUUUGAUAGCUCAUUUUAUGACUUGAUAGCUCAUUGAUUUUCAGCACUAAAUAAUAUUUCAUUGUCUAAAUGUACCACAGUUUAUUUUUCCAUUCAUCUGUUGAAGAACAUCUUGAUUUUUUCUAAGUUUUGGCACAUAUGAAUGAAUAAAGUUGAUAUACAUA
RNAcentral lists this long non-coding RNA (2967 nucleotides) under Homo sapiens (human). RNAcentral's name for it is "HSALNT0397312". The record is from RNAcentral. Lineage: Eukaryota; Metazoa; Chordata; Mammalia; Primates; Hominidae.